Molecule: microRNA precursor, 138 nt
Organism: Gossypium arboreum
Lineage: Eukaryota; Viridiplantae; Streptophyta; Magnoliopsida; Malvales; Malvaceae
Rfam family: MIR7502 microRNA precursor family
Source: Rfam
UGUUAAAAAUUUCAUCAAAUUGUACUAUUAAAAACUAGUGUGACUAACAGAAUAAUCAAAUAGUGAUACAUGACGAGCCACAUAGCAUGAUGUACAAAAAUCAAUUUUUAACAUGAGAAAUGGAAUGAAUUUUUAACA